GAUGAACGCUAGCGAUAGGCUUAACACAUGCAAGUCGAGGGGCAGCAUGGUCUUAGCUUGCUAAGACUGAUGGCGACCGGCGCACGGGUGCGUAACGCGUAUGCAACUUGCCUCACAGAGGGGGAUAACCCGUCGAAAGACGGACUAAUACCGCGUACACUCCAUCUUGGGCAUCCAAGGUAGAGGAAAUGAAAUUCGCUGUGAGAUAGGCAUGCGUCCCAUUAGCUAGUUGGUGAGGUAACGGCUCACCAAGGCGACGAUGGGUAGGGGAACUGAGAGGUUGAACCCCCACACUGGUACUGAGACACGGACCAGACUCCUACGGGAGGCAGCAGUGAGGAAUAUUGGUCAAUGGGCGGGAGCCUGAACCAGCCAAGUCGCGUGAAGGAUGACUGUCUUAUGGAUUGUAAACUUCUUUUAUACGGGAAUAACAAGAGUCACGUGUGACUCCCUGCAUGUACCGUAUGAAUAAGCAUCGGCUAACUCCGUG
This 490-nucleotide ribosomal RNA is filed under the name uncultured bacterium. RNAcentral describes it as "partial 16S ribosomal RNA". It matches the Rfam family "Bacterial small subunit ribosomal RNA", at positions 28 to 507 of the family's 1533-position model. The record is from RNAcentral.